RNAcentral lists this non-coding RNA (186 nucleotides) under Desulfosporosinus lacus. The record is from RNAcentral. Lineage: Bacteria; Bacillati; Bacillota; Clostridia; Eubacteriales; Desulfitobacteriaceae.
AAAUAGCGUUAUACUUAAGGUUCCUUUAAUUUAAAGGAUCUAAAAGGGGAAGUCGGUGAAACUCCGGCGCGGUCCCGCCACUGUAAACAAGGAGUUCUCUUUGUAAAUCCAUUUUGAAACACAAGAUGGUUGAACAUGAGAAUGAUGACUUGAAGCCAGGAAACCUGCCUUAAGUAACAUCACAAA